RNAcentral lists this transfer RNA (72 nucleotides) under Camelus bactrianus (Bactrian camel). It matches the Rfam family "tRNA". From Rfam's summary of the family: Transfer RNA (tRNA) molecules are approximately 80 nucleotides in length. Their secondary structure includes four short double-helical elements and three loops (D, anti-codon, and T loops). Further hydrogen bonds mediate the characteristic L-shaped molecular structure. tRNAs have two regions of fundamental functional importance: the anti-codon, which is responsible for specific mRNA codon recognition, and the 3' end, to which the tRNAs corresponding amino acid is attached (by aminoacyl-tRNA synthetases). tRNAs cope with the degeneracy of the genetic code in two manners: having more than one tRNA (with a specific anti-codon) for a particular amino acid; and 'wobble' base-pairing, i.e. permitting non-standard base-pairing at the 3rd anti-codon position. Lineage: Eukaryota; Metazoa; Chordata; Mammalia; Artiodactyla; Camelidae. RNAcentral also lists the same sequence under 2 other names. The record is from Rfam by way of RNAcentral.
GAGGGUAUAGCUCAGCAGUAGAGCGUGUGCUUCACAUGCACAAGGUCCUGGGUUCAAUCCCCAGUCCCUCCA